Neogobius melanostomus (round goby) is the source of this 3519-nucleotide long non-coding RNA. The record is from Ensembl. Lineage: Eukaryota; Metazoa; Chordata; Actinopteri; Gobiiformes; Gobiidae.
GCCGUUUUAACCUCCCACUGAGAGGAGUGUAAGCUCAGUACUGUUUCGACAAUCUCUGCACUUUUACUUUACUUUUGUUCGGUUUUUAAGCAUUAUUGGUUUAUAUAACACAUUUUUGACUGCGAAAAGACAUGUUCGGUGUGGAAAGGGGCAGGUCGUUUGGCAGAAGUCAGGAUAUCCGGGCUCCGCAUUGUUUUUUGAGCACCCCUGGACCAGGCACAAACGCAAGACCCAUCUAUGUGUCUUUCGUCAGCAAAGCGACCUUAUGGGAACGAGGUCUAUGCACCAGUGUUCACAAUGACCACUCUGUCUUAGAUCAUGGUCCUCGACUGUGUUCCCGCUUCCUGUCCCACAUGAAAGCCUGCCCCAAAGACUUAAAACCUCCAUGUUUUCUGAGUUCCAAGUCCAAACCUCGACCAACAUGUGAAGAGAAGCUGUAUGCACAUGCUCACACUUCCAGCAAGACGCAUAAACCUGACGGGCUCAAGGAGAAAAGGAGAUAUGGUGACUUCCAUCAAGAUCCAGGGGCAAGACAAUCUGCCGCUGCUGCCGCCGUUGCUCCUUGUCAUAGUUCAACUACUCCCCUGCCCAAGAUUAAACAAAAACCUAGUAGCAGAAUUUCCCCUGGCUCUGAAAGACCUCAGGAUUAUGAUGUGUCAACAGCUCUCCCAUUUAUACAGACAGUUUCCUCUGCUGUGGAAGACGCUGCGUUUAAGAAAGCUGAUGCAUCUUUAUUCAACAUAAAUAACACAAACUCAUUUAGAAAAGAUUAUCCCACUGAACAGGAGCCACUACAAUCCCCCGCCAGCCUUUGCCAGAGCUCUCUGUCCGACCUCAGUUGUCGCACCAGCCCGUUCAACAGCAGUCUGGACCUUAGUGGCCGAAGCAGCAUCCUGUCCGACAAAAGCUUUGCUGAAUCCCAGAGCACAAGCCCAGAGGGUAUAAUUUGUUCCCCAGUGGUUCAUUCUUCACCUGUGGCCCGCCGUCAUGCAUCAUUACCUCGCUAUUCUCCGACUAACCUGUCCACCUCUGCUCUAAUCUCCACAAAGCUUUAUGGUCAAACUAAGGCUCCUUCGCUGCCUCAGACUUCACCUGUUCUAUUGUGUAAACCUGAAGAUGACAAGGUAACAGUACAGGAGAGUUCCACUGAAAACGUUCAAGCUGAGUUUAGUCACAACAUAACUCCACAUAGUGCAAGGUCUUCCAGCCAUCUCAGUCCACUGAUGUCCUCAGCUGACACAUUGUCUUUUAAACGGUCCCCCUCUUCUGCCGUUUGUGGUCUCGGGUCUCUGUGGCCCGUUCUGCCUCCCAUCUCAACAGUCCAAGAGUGGUGCACCACUGCAGCCUGUGGCUCCUCUGAGGUGAGCUGUAGUGAGUCUCAGGUCUUUGAUGAACUGGAUGCUAUUGCGCCUUUAUCAGCUUCCUCUCCCUCUAUGGACCAGCUCUCUGAGUCUUCAUACUCUGCUUCCAAAGAUACAGAUGUCUCUCCUGGACUGGCAGCACUCACCGUUUGCUGUGACUCUGGAAAUCUGGGCUCUCUGUCUCGUGUGCAGCUCCUUUUAUUGAACCGGCAAGACCCUGACGCUCAAAGUCCAUUCAGUUUGGAUGAAGACCUGUCAUGUCUGGACAGCUAUGCUGAUUUUGACAUGAACAAUGGUCUUUGGAGGCCCCUCACAGCUGGCAGUAUCUCUGAAAAGUGCGACUCUAUAAGGAAAGCUCAUCAAAACAAACCGGAUGACUUAGAAGACGGUUCUGGCUCCCCUUGUUCAUGGAUCAUUGACCCAAGCCCUUUGAACAACAUGUUGAAAUCCUCCGACUCACAGUGCAACUUCUGCCUUGGAUCUUCGGAGGAUGAGGGGGUUAUAUUGUCCAAUUAUUCGAGGUUAAAUGAAGAGGAUGUAGAAACAUGUUCGACAAUGAAAAGAAUUGAAGAAGACCAAUUCAGGAAGAGGGAGGAGAGAAAAACAAAGGUGCUCAAAAUGCUUUCCAAACUGCAGGACAAUUUACCUCACCGGCCAGCAAGUUGCAAAGGUCACUCCAAUUUUGAAGACUUUGACUUUUUGGCCAAAUACUGCAUUUUUAAUCAGGAGAAACUGGCUGAAUACAAACAAGCUUUUGAAGAAGAGGACACUGAUGGGGAUGGCUACAUUUCUUGUCUUCAAGUUCUGUGUGCCUUGAAAAGCAUCAUUCCUCCAGAGCUGCUUUCUGAAGAGGAAGAGAUCUAUGUCUAUAGGAUUCUGGAGAUGGUGGACUUCAGGGUGACUGAUGGGCUUGUGGACCUCAGGCUGUUUGCAGUCAUUGCCAGUCUUGCCCAAAAGAUUGCCACCAUGGAUGAGUUUAUGCGCUCCCUAAUCAGCAGUAUAGACUUUCGCUCUCUGGAAGUAAAGCUCUUCAAGGCGAAGAAGCUGUUCCUUUGCCUCCUGGAGGAGCAGGCAAGUGACGGGAUGCCCCAACAAAAGUAUAUUAGUCCAGAACAACUGAUUCUAGAGCUUAAGGCCGGGGGCAUCUGUCUAGAGCAGGAGGCUGCCAUCAGAAUGGAGCUGCAGCAUAUUCCCCCUUUAGAUCUGCUGGACUUUCUAGCCCAUUUGCCUCUGUUUAUGCUCAUACACAGGUCUGUCAUUGCCAACCCUUUAGAUGAUUUCAGCCACUUAUGACACUAAAUAUCCCCACAACUAUCCUGCAUCUCAGAACCGCAACUGCAGCUCUGGAGCAUAUGUUGCUCACAAAUGUCUGACAGAAAUCAUUCUUUGACGGGUGAGAAAGUACUGCUGAAGAGCUGUCUAUGGUCCUGAAAUGACUUCACUGUGACAUGUGGAACACUCAACAUUUUACAGCAUGAAGAACUGCUGUCUCUGAACGAGAAGGGAAUUGUCAUAUUUUACCAAUUAGAUGUAUAUGUUGACAAUGAAGAUCCACACUGGCAAAUCAUAUUUAAUUCUCAGAGUUCAAGUUCAACUCUUUGUUUUGUUUCAGCUUUGCUAACUGGGUAUGGCUAUAAGACUAUCCUAUGGCUUGUUGUCAAUAGAUGGUAUGCAUGUGUUAUUUUCAUUCUAAACAGAACUCAUUCUGGACUGAAUGUGAAAACAAAUAAUAAAAAUUACUCUAAGUUGACAGUCAUUUGGCUUCAUAUGCGGUUGCCUCAAUAGAAGGAGCCCUAAUGCAUCAGCAGCCAAAAAUGAUGUUUGAUCUAUUAGAUCGUUGGGGGAUCGAGGAAUCCCCCAAUACACAUUUCAAUGUUUGUCUUUGCAUGUCUGACUUGUGUUGGGAAUUUGUUUGUAAAAGAAAGUUACUAAGCCCAUAGAGCACCAAAAACAUUUGUUGAUGUUGCAGCAGGAAUGGAAUCAAAAAACUAUAAUGGUGAUUUAGAAAAGUACCAAGGUGUUCAAUGUGCGUUAUGUAAUCGGGCCUUUUGUUAAAAACAAAAUAGCUUUGCUGAAGGCAAACGAAAGGCUAUUAGCUUAAAUUUCGCGUAGGCCUCAAGAUUUACUACCAAUCAAAUGAUUAGGCCAACUACUGCCC